This 26-nucleotide non-coding RNA is filed under the name Phaeocystis antarctica. The record is from RNAcentral. Lineage: Eukaryota; Haptophyta; Phaeocystales; Phaeocystaceae.
GGCAGGAAGGCAGCAGCCGCAAAGCC